GAAUCGCAUGGCCUUGCGCCGGCGAUGGUUCAUUCAAAUUUCUGCCCUAUCAACUUUCGAUGGUAGGAUAGUGGCCUACCAUGGUGGCGACGGGUAACGGGGAAUUAGGGUUCGAUUCCGGAGAGGGAGCCUGAGAAACGGCUACCACAUCCAAGGAAAGCAGCAGGCGCGCAAAUUACCCAAUCCCGAUACGGGGAGGUAGUGACAAUAAAUACUGGUACAGGGCUCUUUUGGGUCUUGUAAUUGGAAUGAGAACAAUCUAAAUCCCUUAACGAGGAACAAUUGGAGGGCAAGUCUGGUGCCAGCAGCCGCGGUAAUUCCAGCUCCAAUAGCGUAUAUUAAAGUUGUUGCAGUUAAAAAGCUCGUAGUUGAACCUUGGGCCCGUCCUGCCGGUCCGCCUCACCGCGAGUACUGGUCCGGAUGGGCCUUUCUUUCUGGGGAAUCCCAUGGCCUUCACUGGCUGUGGCGGGGAACCAGGACUUUUACUGUGAAAAAAUUAGAGUGUUCAAAGCAGGCCUUUGCUCGGAUACAUUAGCAUGGAAUAAUAGAAUAGGACGUGCGGUUCUAUUUUGUUGGUUUCUAGGACCGCCGUAAUGAUUAAUAGGGAUAGUCGGGGGCGUCAGUAUUCAGCUGUCAGAGGUGAAAUUCUUGGAUUUGCUGAAGACUAACUACUGCGAAAGCAUUCGCCAAGGAUGUUUUCAUUAAUCAGGGAACGAAAGUUAGGGGAUCGAAGACGAUCAGAUACCGUCGUAGUCUUAACCAUAAACUAUGCCGACUAGGGAUCGGGCGGGGUUUCUAUGAUGACCCGCUCGGCACCUUACGAGAAAUCAAAGUUUUUGGGUUCUGGGGGGAGUAUGGUCGCACGGCUGAAACUUAAAGAAAUUGACGGAAGGGCACCACAAGGCGUGGAGCCUGCGG
This 918-nucleotide ribosomal RNA is filed under the name uncultured eukaryote. RNAcentral describes it as "SSU rRNA". It matches the Rfam family "Eukaryotic small subunit ribosomal RNA", at positions 266 to 1188 of the family's 1831-position model. The record is from RNAcentral.